GGAUCAAUAUGUUGGUCGUGCCUUGGUACGUACUGGCAUCGUUGGUUCCUACCUUCUGAAGAACCUCGAUGUCAUUAAUUUGGUGUCUUGGGAAAUCAGGACUGUUACUUUGAAAAAAUUAGAGUGUUUAAAGCAGGCUCACGCUUGAAUACAUUAGCAUGGAAUAAUGAAAUAGGACGUUUGAUUCUAUUUUGUUGGUUUCUAGGAUCGACGUAAUGAUUA
RNAcentral lists this ribosomal RNA (222 nucleotides) under uncultured Glomeromycotina. RNAcentral describes it as "partial 18S ribosomal RNA". The stretch from base 46 to 222 matches the Rfam family "Eukaryotic small subunit ribosomal RNA", at positions 693 to 871 of the family's 1831-position model. The record is from RNAcentral. Lineage: Eukaryota; Fungi; Glomeromycota.